This 131-nucleotide non-coding RNA is filed under the name Schistosoma mansoni. Lineage: Eukaryota; Metazoa; Platyhelminthes; Trematoda; Strigeidida; Schistosomatidae. The record is from RNAcentral.
CCCAACCGUUGCUACUGCCUUGACGUGGUGGUCGGGCUUGCCUAUCGUGAUGAACCAAUAGAACUAUGCUGGCUGAAACAAUCGUUCCAUGCCAGGCAGGUCGGUUGAAGAGCGGUAAGACUAAAAGCAGC